Molecule: long non-coding RNA, 1138 nt
Filed under: Bemisia tabaci
Lineage: Eukaryota; Metazoa; Arthropoda; Insecta; Hemiptera; Aleyrodidae
Description: lncRNA ENSASIAIIG008685
Source: RNAcentral
UUUGUCAGUUUGCUUAGUAAUUUAUGUUAUACCAGAAAAUAUACCAAGAAAGAAUAACCAAUGUAAGUACGGAUCUGUAACCAUCCGUGGAUUGCAAUUUUUUUUAGGCAUCAGUGCCUGUAUAUUUUCUGAAUCUAAUUUAGGGAGGGUCAUAUCUGUAAAUUCCUUAAUCACUCUGAGUUUUUAAAUUUUGAUACCAAAUUACCACACUUAUUCGUCAUAGAAGAUUGUGCAUAGGAAUGUUACAGAUCUUUACAAUAAUUCGAAUGGUUUAAAUGAUGCACUUGGCAAUGGGUCUAGGCAUAUUUUUACAAAAAGGAAAAUUUUUCUCACAAUUUUUCUUCAUUCAUCAUUUCCGAAGGUACAACUUCACAAUCUCUCUUUGAAUUUUAAGCAAGCAUUUUUAAAAAUUAAAUAAAGGAAAGUAGGGAGUCAAAUUCGAGAGUUACCUAAUUUUUCCAUUGGUUUGAGCAGAGCAAUAGCCAGGAAUCCAUGUCAAGGGGGAAGAGAUAAAUUAUGAAGUCCGAAAGUUGAGUAGCACCUAAUUAAAGAAUAAUUUCAUUUGAUCAAAGAUGGCUAUCAUACACUUGGAAAAAAAAAAAAAAAACUCUCCGUCACUCUAAUUUGAAUAUUUGUUAAUUUUUAGGAUUUUCAAUUGAAUUUGUUGAAGCUAACAUCACCAAUUUCAACCAAGCAGAGCCUCAUAGCACCACCCUCAUCACUGCCUACAAAUCAGUUUCAUGAACAAAUUUCGAAACUGAUCCCUAGGAAAAUUACAAGAGAUGAAUUUCAUCAGAUGAUCCUAGACAAGAAUUUAUAUCCUUGUUUUAACAAAGCGGAAGCCAUUAUUCCAGUUUGCAAGCAGUUCUCAUGGUCUCCCCAAGGACUUAAUUAUCGUAAUAGGUGUCUCAUGGUUGUCCUAACAGAUACAGGCUCUUGCAGUAUUUAUGUCAGAGGCAAAUUAAAGAUGGUCUUACACAAGAGUAUCUCUAAUGAGUGGGUCAAAAUAUGUGCCAAGCAGUGGGACAGUGAUACACUAUCUCAUUUUAAUGAUCUUCAAGAGAGAGUCCGCAAAAUUAGUAUAAAAGAAAUUGCAUGGAGUCAUGCUGUGGGUGACUGGACCAAAAAACAGCACUUC